AUUGAACGCUGGCGGCAUGCCUUACACAUGCAAGUCGAACGGCAGCACGGGAGCAAUCCUGGUGGCGAGUGGCGAACGGGUGAGUAAUAUAUCGGAACGUGCCCAGUAGUGGGGGAUAGCCCGGCGAAAGCCGGAUUAAUACCGCAUACGACCUGAGGGUGAAAGCGGGGGAUCGCAAGACCUCGCGCUAUUGGAGCGGCCGAUAUCAGAUUAGCUAGUUGGUGGGGUAAAGGCCUACCAAGGCUACGAUCUGUAGUUGGUCUGAGAGGACGACCAGCCACACUGGGACUGAGACACGGCCCAGACUCCUACGGGAGGCAGCAGUGGGGAAUUUUGGACAAUGGGCGCAAGCCUGAUCCAGCAAUGCCGCGUGCAGGAAGAAGGCCUCGGUUGUAACUGCUUUGUCAGGAAGAAAUCUUCUGGGCUAAUACCCCGGAGGAUGACGGUACCUGAAGAAUAAGCACCGGCUAACUACGUGCCAGCAGCCGAC
This 490-nucleotide ribosomal RNA is filed under the name uncultured bacterium. RNAcentral describes it as "bacterial SSU rRNA". It matches the Rfam family "Bacterial small subunit ribosomal RNA", at positions 30 to 518 of the family's 1533-position model. The record is from RNAcentral.